This 45-nucleotide non-coding RNA is filed under the name Bacillus sp. (in: firmicutes). RNAcentral describes it as "Bacillus sp. PreQ1-I sequence". It matches the Rfam family "PreQ1 (pre queuosine) riboswitch aptamer". From Rfam's summary of the family: This family is a bacterial riboswitch that binds to the metabolite preQ1, an intermediate in the biosynthesis of the modified nucleoside queuosine from GTP. One example of this riboswitch is located in the leader of the Bacillus subtilis ykvJKLM (queCDEF) operon which encodes four genes necessary for queuosine production. PreQ1 binding to the riboswitch aptamer is thought to induce premature transcription termination within the leader to down-regulate expression of these genes. Lineage: Bacteria; Bacillati; Bacillota; Bacilli; Caryophanales; Bacillaceae. The record is from RNAcentral. RNAcentral also lists the same sequence under 1 other name.
UAAGACGUGGUUCGGAACCAUCCCACGUAAAAAAACUAAGGAGAG